CACGGAGUUGGCCGAUGCUUUUUCUUCGGAUACACGCAGUCCGGGACACGUCCCGGGUUUUGUUCUCCGACAAAAGAGGUUUACAACCCAUAGGGCCGUCUUCCCUCACGCGGCUUGGCUGGUUCAGGAUCUCUCCCAUUGACCAAUAUUCCUCACUGCUGCCUCCCGUAGGAGUCUGGUCCGUGUCUCAGUACCAGUGUGGGGGACCUUCCUCUCAGAACCCCUACGCAUCGUCGCCACGGUGGGCCGUUACCCCGCCGUCAAGCUAAUGCGCCGCAUGCCCAUCCUCUUCCGAUGAAUCUUUCCUCGAUCUCGGAUGCCCGAAACCGAUAUACGCGGGAUUAGCCUCCCUUUCGGAAGGUUGUCCCCCUGAAGAGGGCAGGUUGCAUACGUGUUACUCACCCGUGCGCCGGUCGCCGGCAAGGAAAGCAAGCUUCCCUCCCGAUGCCCCUCGACUUGCAUGUGUUAAGCCUGCCGCUAGCGUUCAUCCUGAGCCAGGAUCAAACUCU
Molecule: ribosomal RNA, 509 nt
Filed under: uncultured Bacteroidales bacterium
Lineage: Bacteria; Pseudomonadati; Bacteroidota; Bacteroidia; Bacteroidales
Description: partial 16S ribosomal RNA
Source: RNAcentral